UACAGAGGGGGCAAGCGUUGUUCGGAAUUACUGGGCGUAAAGGGCGCGUAGGCGGCCUUCUAAGUCGAACGUGAAAUCCCCGGGCUCAACCCGGGAACUGCGUCCGAUACUGGAAGGCUUGAAUCCGGGAGAGGGAUGUGGAAUACCAGGUGUAGCGGUGAAAUGCGUAGAUAUCUGGAGGAACACCGGUGGCGAAGGCGACAUCCUGGACCGGUAUUGACGCUGAGGCGCGAAAGCCAGGGGAGCAAACGGG
This 253-nucleotide ribosomal RNA is filed under the name uncultured bacterium. RNAcentral's name for it is "partial 16S ribosomal RNA". It matches the Rfam family "Bacterial small subunit ribosomal RNA", at positions 524 to 776 of the family's 1533-position model. The record is from RNAcentral.